Non-coding RNA from Myxococcales bacterium SG8_38, 194 nucleotides. Lineage: Bacteria; Pseudomonadati; Myxococcota; Myxococcia; Myxococcales. The record is from Rfam.
UCCGAGCCGUUGGAGAUAGAUCGACGGAGAGACAACCGCCGGUCAAACGGGGAAGUCGGUGCAAGGCCGACGCGGACCCGCCACGGUAUGUGACCGAAUGCGCUGCCACGAUGCCACUGGGCGAGGAAAAGCCUGGGAAGGCGGCAGAGCCUAGGGUCACGAGCCCGGAGACCUACCUAGCAAGCCCACUCGAA